RNAcentral lists this ribosomal RNA (253 nucleotides) under uncultured bacterium. RNAcentral describes it as "partial 16S ribosomal RNA". It matches the Rfam family "Bacterial small subunit ribosomal RNA", at positions 524 to 776 of the family's 1533-position model. The record is from RNAcentral.
UACGGAGGGUGCAAGCGUUAUCCGGAUUCACUGGGUUUAAAGGGCGCGUAGGCGGGUUGCCAAGUCUGUGGUGAAAUCCUCCGGCUCAACCGGAGAACUGCCGUGGAUACUGGCGACCUCGAGGGGGGUAGGGGCUUGCGGAACUGUGCGUGGAGCGGUGAAAUGCGUUGAUAUGCACAGGAACUCCGGUGGCGAAGGCGGCGAGCUGGACCCUUUCUGACGCUGAGGCGCGAAAGCCAGGGGAGCGAACGGG